AUGAACGCUGGCGGCGUGCUUAACACAUGCAAGUCGAGCGAGAAGUUUUGAAAAGACUCUUCGGAUGAAAUUUAAAAUGGAAAGCGGCGGACGGGUGAGUAACGCGUAGGCAACCUGCCCCAUACAAAGGGAUAGCAUUUGGAAACGAAUAUUAAUACCUUAUGAAACUUAACUAGUGCAUGCUAGGUAGGUCAAAGAUUUAUCGGUAUGGGAUGGGCCUGCGUCUGAUUAGCUAGUUGGUGAGGUAACGGCUCACCAAGGCGACGAUCAGUAGCCGACCUGAGAGGGUGAACGGCCACAUUGGAACUGAGACACGGUCCAAACUCCUACGGGAGGCAGCAGUGGGGAAUAUUGCACAAUGGGGGAAACCCUGAUGCAGCAACGCCGCGUGAACGAUGAAGGCCUUUGGGUCGUAAAGUUCUGUUCUAGGUGAUGAAAACUGACAGUAACCUAGGAGAAAGCCCCGGCUAACUCCGUG
Molecule: ribosomal RNA, 478 nt
Filed under: uncultured bacterium
Lineage: Bacteria
Description: partial 16S ribosomal RNA
Rfam family: Bacterial small subunit ribosomal RNA
Source: RNAcentral